AUUGAACGCUGGCGGCAGGCCUAACACAUGCGAGUCGAGCGGAUGAAGGGAGCUUGCUCCUGGAUUCAGCGGCGGACGGGUGAGUAAUGACUAGGAAGCUGACUGGUAGUAGGGGAUAACGUCCGGAAACGGGCGCUAAUACCGCAUACGUCCUGAGGGAGAAAGUGGGGGAUCUUCAGACCUCACGCUAUCAGAUGAGCCUAGGUCGGAUUAGCUAGUUGGUGGGGUAAAGGCCUACCAAGGCGACGAUCCGUAACUGGUCUGAGAGGAUGAUCAGUCACACUGGAACUGAGACACGGUCCAGACUCCUACGGGAGGCAGCAGUGGGGAAUAUUGGACAAUGGGCGAAAGCCUGAUCCAGCCAUGCCGCGUGUGUGAAGAAGGUCUUCGGAUUGUAAAGCACUUUAAGUUGGGAGGAAGGGCAGUAAGUUAAUACCUUGCUGUUUUGACGUUACCAACAGAAUAAGCACCGGCUAACUUCGUG
RNAcentral lists this ribosomal RNA (484 nucleotides) under uncultured bacterium. RNAcentral describes it as "partial 16S ribosomal RNA". It matches the Rfam family "Bacterial small subunit ribosomal RNA", at positions 30 to 507 of the family's 1533-position model. The record is from RNAcentral.